GACGAACCGAGCGAACGCUAUUCGGAAUCACUGGGCUUAAAGGGUGCGUAGGCGGGCAGGUAAGUCCGUGGUGAAAUCUCUGAGCUUAACUCAGAAACUGCCAUGGAUACUAUUUGUCUUGAAUAUUGUGGAGGUAAGCGGAAUAUGUCAUGUAGCGGUGAAAUGCUUAGAUAUGACAUAGAACACCAAUUGCGAAGGCAGCUUACUACACAGUUAUUGACGCUGAGGCACGAAAGCGUGGGGAUCAAACAGG
This 253-nucleotide ribosomal RNA is filed under the name uncultured bacterium. Its description in RNAcentral is "partial 16S ribosomal RNA". It matches the Rfam family "Bacterial small subunit ribosomal RNA", at positions 524 to 776 of the family's 1533-position model. The record is from RNAcentral.